Molecule: long non-coding RNA, 5002 nt
Organism: Peromyscus californicus insignis
Lineage: Eukaryota; Metazoa; Chordata; Mammalia; Rodentia; Cricetidae
Exons: 2
Source: RefSeq, a predicted model, not a curated record
AGAUGGGGGAUGUGAGGUGGCCGGUGGGCUAGACUGCAGAAGUCUGGAUUCUCCCAGGAGAGACUGGUCCCCUUGGUGCUACCAAGAGGUGUCAGUUUGGGUGUGACCUUCAGUUAGAUUGACAGUUUCGCUAUCCCACAGGGGCGGAGGCGGAGGAGGGGAGGGAAGUGGGUGGAGGAGAGGGCUGCCCGAACCUCUUGUCCAGCCCACCUAAGCAUGAAGUGUUUUCAGUUGUUUGCUUGAAACCUCUCAUCUCUGAUUGAAGUAGCCGAAAUCACUGCAAAAUUCAAAUUGAGUCCCACUGUGGCCGGUAGGACCACCAGUGCCCAUCACAGACUGAAUGAGGAGCUGCCUCCUCCUGGGGAAUGUGAAGUGCCCAGGCUUAGAAGCCAAUUGAAGGCGGGGCCAGGCGGAGGACUGAUUUCAGGGUCCCAGUUUUUAGGGCCACCCCAGAGGGAAAGGAGGGAUCGAGAGUCAAGAAAGAAGCAAACCAUCAAAUGUAAAGGAAAAAAGAAUGCCUUUGAUAUUUUUAGCCCUCUGCCUUCCGGAUGAAGUGUAGCAAACGCAGGCGACACCUUGGAAGGGACCAAGUUGGUCUGCAGCUGCGAUUUCGUGAGUUCACCGUUGUGAGUGCGGGCUUGGAAAUGGAACUCUGGUCCAGGAGGAAAAGGAAAUGUUGGGUCUGAUAUCUCACCCUCACAACCCUCACCUGGACUUUCCUUUUCCAAGCCAGAGAGGUCAGAGGAGGCUCUUGACACCUGCCAGGAACCUGGGAAGGCUGAAUUCAGAUCUUCACCUCUCCUGCUUCUCCAGAUCCAAUCCUCUACUCUCCUCCCCAGCUGGGCAGCAGUAGUCCUGGUGAAGCCUCCCCCUACAUCAUCUCUAGUAGAUUUCACAAACCUUCUCCUAUUUCUUGGUUAGGGUUUCUACUGCUUUGAAGAGACACCACGACCACAGUAACUUUUAUAAGGAAAACAUUUAAUUAGGCUUACAGUUUCAGAGGUUUAGUCCAUUAUCAUCACAGCAAGAAGCAAGGCAGCAUGCAGGCACACAUGGUGCUAGAGAGGGAGCUGAGAAUUCUUACAUCUUGACUCACAGGAAACAGCAAGUGGUCAUGAUGUUUCUUCACAGCAGCAGAAAUCCUACCUAAGACAGAAGUUGGUACCAGGGACUUGGGUAUUACUGUGAUAAGCCUGGCCAUGUUUUUGUUUGAAGGAAUAUGUACCUUGAGAUUGCCAAUCAGAAAAGUAGCUGAACUCCAAGUGUUGCUUAAUGGGUCAUACUAGUAGGAACAUGGAAGACAGUGAUGCCUAAUGUGAUUUGAUGAACUGUGGGGGGCUGGCUCAAGAGGUUUCAGAGGAGAAUAUUAAUAUGUGGCCUAGAGAUUGUUCUUGUGAUAUUUUGGUGAAUUGUGUGGCUCCCUUUGGCUUUCGUCUGAAGAGUCUGCCAGAGGCUAAAGUGAAGAGCUUUAUUUUAUUUAUUAAUUUCAUUGGCAGAGGAAAUCUCAAAAUAGCCUAGUAUAAUAGCUCUGUAUUGUGGUUAUUAGUGGUAACUCUUAUAAAGAUUUAUAAUGAAAAGGAGCAAGCUGAGCAGGAUAAAUUACAAAAUGUAAAAUUUAAGGAUAAAAGAAGCACCAAAAACGGAACAGAGCUAAGUCUUUUGUUCAAGCAGAUAAAUAGAUUAAGAAAUGAAAUAGAAGGAGUGGUGGCCUCAGGGCAAGAUGUCACCUAGCUAAGUUUCCAACUUGUGAAAAAAGCUUAGUGCUGGGUGUGGUGGUGUACACCUUUAAUCCCAUCACUCAGAAGGCAGAGGCUGGCAGAUCUCCGAGCUUGAGACAAGCUGGUGUACAGAACAAGUUUGAAGACAGCCAAGCUUAGGAAGUAAAGGGAAACAGAAAGCUGAUAAAGAUGUAAUUAAAUGAGGAGACCAUGUUUCAGCCCCAGCAAGAAGCAAAACUUGGCAGCUUUGGCCGUGUGGUUCUGGAGUUAAGGAUAGAAAGAAAGGGCUAUGGAGUUUGCCUCUGCAUCUAAGGAAAGCUGCUGAGGAGUAUCCCUGAAUAGAGGCCUAGAGAGGCCACUGUAUGAAGCUGUGAUGUUGAAGCCUGGAUUGUCUUGGAGAACCUCAAGAUGUUGGAGAUGCCAGAGCUGUGGGAUGCCUUAUGAGGAGAGCUGCUAACAAGGAGUGGAAUCAGUCAAAAGUCAGUCAAAGAGAAAGAAGUAUGUUGUAGGCAUCAAAGCUGAAAGGAGUUGGAGAUCUGAAGAACAUUUUGACAUCAGACAUGGAGAUGCAGAGUUUGGAAUUUGCCCAGCUAGUUUUUGGUCAUGCUUUGGUCCAGUAUUUUUCAUUUUCAAAUAAAACCUGAGAGGAAAACACUCCGUUGGGUGAAUACUGUGAUAUAAAGGAGGAAUGCCAAGUUUAAAUGUAAUCUAGUGCCCAGUUUUCCACUGGAUAGAAUACAGAAAAUUUAUGUCACUUUGUGUUCCCUUAAGCUACUGUGAUUUGACUGUAUUUGCACAACAUAUAUUCCUACAUAUCUUAACUGCAUUAAGUAAUAGAACUUUGACAAAGUUUAUAAUUCAGCUUCUCUCAGUGUAAUCUUUUACUCUCAACAUUAAUUUUCUAACAUAAACGUUGAGAAAUAUUCUCAGUCUUAUUAAACUUAAUACUUCAGUAUGGAAGUUUACAAGAGAAAGAAGAAGUAUUAAAUACCUUAAGUCAUACAAAGAGAUGAAUGAUGACCCAUACAACACACUACCAUUUAUUUGGAAGUAAAUACAUCUGUAAAGUAAGCCACAAACCAUUUAUGGAUCCCUAGUGGACAACAGCGUUUCUGUUUGUGUGUCAGGUAAUUGGGGAUCAAACUCAAGUCUCCUAUAUUUCAACAAGUAUUUUUCUAAUAAUAUUAUUUGUAAACCCUUAUAGUGUGUGUGUGUGUGUGUGUGUGAGUGUGUGUGUGUGUGUGUGUGUGUGUGUGUGUGUGUGCGUGCAUGCCUGUCUGUCUGUCUGUCUGUCUUUGUGUACUGAAAGAAGACAUAGCAAGAAGAGAAUCUUAUAUGUAUAUGGAUGGGGAUGUGUGUUUAGGUUCACAAAUGAGACUUCCAGGUAAAUGUUACAAAUAAUGCAAUAUUACACAACUAGAACAUAUUGGAAAUAAAGCUGCAGGAAUGCAGGGAGUGUUUUAUUCAUUGAAAUGUGUAAUAUUUAAAACACUGAAAAAACUAUAAUACGUGGAAAGAAUGAAAGUUUCCAAAAGACAACAAUCAUUGCUUUCAUGAUUACUACACUGGUAUUUGGCACGUUGUACUUUAUUUUGUGUGUUCAAUCUGGGUAUACCUAAUAUUUUCAUGAUUAAAGAAAAAUCAGUGUGAGAAUUCUCUUACCAUCAUGUAUUUCUAUUUUCCUGUUUCGUGGCAGCUACAUUUUUAUAGGCGAAACAUCUGAUGGCUGGUAAGGCAUCUGUCACAUCCACGCUUCGCACAUUUUCCAUGGAAGGUGUACAGUGCACAGGAAACUGGCUGCUCUGCAGUCUCCCCUUUGAGGACGACUUGUCCUUCACAUUGAAUGUGUACUAGGAAAAGAAAAUGUUGACACUGGUGCAUAGAAUCCAGCAUCUGACUGUGCAUGGAUAAAAAAAUGGAAGGCAUUGAAUAAAUCAAUUAAAAGGGGUAUUAAUGUCAUUGUUCAUUCCAAACAAAUCGUGCUUUGAAUUUUGUCUAAUUUAUAUUUAAUUUGUGAAAAAAAACAAGAACUUUCCAUAGUAUGUGAACAAAACAACUUAAAAUUAUAAAAUUAAAAUGGUAAAAUAUUGGUAUAACAAAAUAAAAGAGUUUUGUUUUUGUUUUUUCUGACUAGGGGAAUUUUUACAUAAUUGGUCAUUUCUUAUAUGUCUAAAUAUAUAACAGUUUGUGUUUAAAUUAAAAUGGUUUCUGUUAAACUUUACAAUGAAAUGAUAUAGUUUAAUUCUCAUCACCAGGAAGCAGGGUAACAUUUGUAUUGUGAUACAGAUUAGCUUCAGAGAUUAAGCCCAAGAUCUGUUAAUAAUUGCUUUAGAGUUAAAUGUGAAAUCAUUUUUUGUGAAUAAAUAUGAUUUUACAAGUAAAAUGAUAUUCACACAAAUAUACCAUAAUCUGAAGUCCUAGUCUAGAAUUUGCAUGUCUGUAUCAUGGCUAACUUGACAAAACACGAUUCCUGUGUUAGUUAUGUCUAUACAUUAUGCUACAUUUCUGAAUCAUUUGUAUUUAUUAUUCAAAUUCUUUGUUUUACUUGAAUAGUGAUGUGUAGCAGGAUCUCAAAGAGUUUUAUUAAUAAAAUCAAACCUGGGGCCAGUUAUUAGGGUGAACACUGGAAGACCAGAGAGACAGAACAAGCCACAGCUAACCUCACCUGGUCAACUUCUCAGUUGGUCUUGUUUCCUCAGACUGGAAGCUUCUGUGUCCUCAUAUCUGAAUGGCUCUCACCUGAGCUGUGCUGCUUGAAGCCUGAAAGCUUAACCAGCCAAAUGCUUCUAGUUUCUGGUCCUCACGCCUUAUAUACCUUUCUGCUUUCUACUACCAGUCCCUGGGAUUAAAGGCUGCUUUCUGGGAUUAAAGGCGUGUGUCACCACGCCUGGCCGUUUCCAAUGUGGCCUUGAACUCACAGAGAUCCAGAGGGAUUUCUAACUCUGGAAUGUUAGGAUUAAAGGUGUGACUGCCACCAUUUUCUAGCCUUUGUAUCUAGUGGCUGUUCUGUCUCUGACCCCAGAUAAGUUUAUUAGGGUUCACAAUGUUUUGGAGAACACAAUACCACCACAGUGAUGCACAGUUCUUAUAAAGCAAAUGACUUUGGUGGAGCAUGAGUGUUAUCCAGUGCUGUACAUUUAAAGUUCCAGGACUUGUGCCUCUGUCCCUGAUUUUCUAAGAAUAAAUGACACCUGCACAUUUAAAAUGGAGCAAAAAAAAAAUUACUCAUUGCAUUUAAAAAGGAUUGCUGUUAAAAGGAAGUAAACUGUAGCCUCUUCACGUUC